GAAUGUGCCGCAAGGUGCAUGGCAGACGGGUGAGUAACGCGUGGGCAAUCUACCUUCUCGUGGGGAAUAACGCUCCGAAAGGAGUGGUAAUACCGCAUGAGACCCAUGGCUGGGAUGCUGUGGGUGAAACCUGGGGACCUUCGGGCCUGGGGCGAGAAGAGGAGCCUGCGUCUGAUUAGCUAGUUGGUGGGGUAACGGCCUACCAAGGCGACGAUCAGUAGCCGGCCUGAGAGGGUGAUCGGCCACACUGGAACUGAGACACGGUCCAGACUCCUACGGGAGGCAGCAGUGGGGAAUUUUGCGCAAUGGACGAAAGUCUGACGCAGCAACGCCGCGUGGGUGAUGAAGGUCUUCGGAUCGUAAAACCCUGUCGUUGGGGACGAAGGUGGGGCGGUGAAUAGCCGCUUCGCUUGACGGUACCCGGAGAGGAAGCCCCGGCUAACUCUGUGCCAGCAGCCGCGGUAAUACAGAGGGGGCAAGCGUUAUUCGGAAUUAUUGGGCGUAAAGGGCGCGUAGGCGGUUUUUUAAGUCAGAUGUGUAAUCCCCGAGCUCAACUUGGGAACUGCAUCUGAGACUGGAAGGCUAGAGUGCUGGAGAGGGUGGUGGAAUUCCUCGUGUAGCGGUGAAAUGCGUAGAGAUGAGGAGGAACACCAGUGGCGAAGGCGGCCACCUGGACAGCAACUGACGCUGAGGCGCGAAAGUGUGGGUAGCAAACA
Molecule: ribosomal RNA, 716 nt
Filed under: uncultured Acidobacteriota bacterium
Lineage: Bacteria; Pseudomonadati; Acidobacteriota
Description: bacterial SSU rRNA
Rfam family: Bacterial small subunit ribosomal RNA
Source: RNAcentral